Non-coding RNA from Coffea arabica (coffee), 214 nucleotides. The record is from RefSeq and is a predicted model, not a curated record. NCBI's taxonomy places the organism in Eukaryota, Viridiplantae, Streptophyta, Magnoliopsida, Gentianales, Rubiaceae.
UGAAAAUUUGGGAAGAGAAAGCUUGGGGCUGCUCUUAGGGACUUCUAAUCAAGAUUUGGACUCCCAACCCGGAGUACCACCUCGACGCGAAAACUAGAAGCACUAUUGUGGGGUACGGGUGAAGCGUGAGAAGUGUAAAGGCUAGCGUAGUCUAGUUACUUUAGACUUUGUUUUGAAUUUUGGUUUUGUACUCGCGCUAUUCCUCGGAUGGAAC